This 253-nucleotide ribosomal RNA is filed under the name uncultured bacterium. Its description in RNAcentral is "partial 16S ribosomal RNA". It matches the Rfam family "Bacterial small subunit ribosomal RNA", at positions 524 to 776 of the family's 1533-position model. The record is from RNAcentral.
UACGUAGGGUGCAAGCGUUAAUCGGAAUUACUGGGCGUAAAGCGUGCGCAGGCGGUUUUGUAAGUCUGUCGUGAAAUCCCCGGGCUCAACCUGGGAAUUGCGUUGGAGACUGCAAGGCUGGAGUCUGGCAGAGGGGGGUAGAAUUCCACGUGUAGCAGUGAAAUGCGUAGAGAUGUGGAGGAACACCGAUGGCGAAGGCAGCCCCCUGGGCCAACACUGACGCUCAGGCACGAAAGCGUGGGGAGCAAACAGG